UUACCGGCAGUCUUUCCCUUGCAUCCGUACUGCCCUUCCCAUCUUCAUUGCAGGCAUCGCAACGGCCGCUGUCAGUAGGAGCGGGUGAGAUGGGAAACUAAGGCUGAAAUAAGCUGCUUUUGGAUACUGAGACAUUGUCAGAGCUGAAUUUAAAGAGUGACUAUGGAAAGCAAAGAAUGCCAUGUUGAGGGUGCCA
Gekko japonicus is the source of this 196-nucleotide long non-coding RNA. RefSeq lists it as uncharacterized. NCBI's taxonomy places the organism in Eukaryota, Metazoa, Chordata, Lepidosauria, Squamata, Gekkonidae. The transcript is spliced from 3 exons. The record is from RefSeq and is a predicted model, not a curated record.